Long non-coding RNA from Betta splendens (Siamese fighting fish), 444 nucleotides. RefSeq lists it as uncharacterized. The transcript is spliced from 2 exons. NCBI's taxonomy places the organism in Eukaryota, Metazoa, Chordata, Actinopteri, Anabantiformes, Osphronemidae. The record is from RefSeq and is a predicted model, not a curated record.
ACUAGGUGUGGCAGGUUGUGGCAGGUGAGCCGCGUGAAGACGAACCGAGGCGUCGGCAGAUGAAUGCUUUGCUUUGUGUGUAAGUGCCAGCAGUUACAGAUAGUGUUAGCGGAAUCUGGUUCUACGGCUCGGCCGCCAUCCGUCGCCUCUGGCAGCAGAAACAAGUGAAAGUCUGUUUUUAGACCUUCCGUUGCCUGUAACAAGCAGGUGAGAGGCGCCCUGAGCCCAGCGCAGACUUUGACCCCUGCUGGUAGACGUCCACCCGUUGACCAGGAUGUUGGUACCGAGGUGGUGAGGUCCAGAACUGACCUUGUCAAUGAAGCUGGCGAAGCGGUUGUUGAGGGUCUUGAUCUGCUCCUUCUCCUGGGUGCGGACGACCUGGAUCUGCGGGUCGAUCUCCAGGUUCAGAGGCGACAGCAGGCUCUGGUUGUACUGGACGGCUGU